UGGCGGCGUGCCUAUACAUGCAAGUCGAGCGGACCGACGGGAGCUUGCUCCCUUAGGUCAGCGGCGGACGGGUGAGUAACACGUGGGUAACCUGCCUGUAAGACUGGGAUAACUCCGGGAAACCGGGGCUAAUACCGGAUGCUUGAUUGAACCGCAUGGUUCAAUCAUAAAAGGUGGCUUUUAGCUACCACUUACAGAUGGACCCGCGGCGCAUUAGCUAGUUGGUGAGGUAACGGCUCACCAAGGCGACGAUGCGUAGCCGACCUGAGAGGGUGAUCGGCCACACUGGGACUGAGACACGGCCCAGACUCCUACGGGAGGCAGCAGUAGGGAAUCUUCCGCAAUGGACGAAAGUCUGACGGAGCAACGCCGCGUGAGUGAUGAAGGUUUUCGGAUCGUAAAACUCUGUUGUUAGGGAAGAACAAGUACCGUUCGAAUAGGGCGGUACCUUGACGGUACCUAACCAGAAAGCCACGGCUAACUACGUGCCAGCAGCCGCGGUAAUACGUAGGUGGCAAGCGUUGUCCGGAAUUAUUGGGCGUAAAGCGCGCGCAGGCGGUUUCUUAAGUCUGAUGUGAAAGCCCCCGGCUCAACCGGGGAGGGUCAUUGGAAACUGGGGAACUUGAGUGCAGAAGAGGAGAGUGGAAUUCCACGUGUAGCGGUGAAAUGCGUAGAGAUGUGGAGGAACACCAGUGGCGAAGGCGACUCUCUGGUCUGUAACUGACGCUGAGGCGCGAAAGCGUGGGGAGCGAACAGGAUUAGAUACCCUGGUAGUCCACGCCGUAAACGAUGAGUGCUAAGUGUUAGAGGGUUUCCGCCCUUUAGUGCUGCAGCAAACGC
This 840-nucleotide ribosomal RNA is filed under the name Bacillus licheniformis. RNAcentral's name for it is "bacterial SSU rRNA". It matches the Rfam family "Bacterial small subunit ribosomal RNA", at positions 37 to 858 of the family's 1533-position model. Lineage: Bacteria; Bacillati; Bacillota; Bacilli; Caryophanales; Bacillaceae. The record is from RNAcentral.